RNAcentral lists this ribosomal RNA (254 nucleotides) under uncultured bacterium. RNAcentral describes it as "partial 16S ribosomal RNA". It matches the Rfam family "Bacterial small subunit ribosomal RNA", at positions 524 to 776 of the family's 1533-position model. The record is from RNAcentral.
GACGAACCGUGCGAACGUUAUUCGGAAUCACUGGGCUUAAAGCGCGUGUAGGCGGGCCGCCACGUCGGGCGCUGAAAUCCCCCGGCUCAACCGGGGAACGGGCACCGAUACGAGCGGCCUGGAGGGGAGUAGGUGGACCUGGAACUUCCGGUGGAGCGGUGAAAUGCGUUGAGAUCGGAAGGAACGCCCGUGGCGAAAGCGAGGUCCUGGGCUCCUGCUGACGCUGAGACGCGAAAGCCAGGGGAGCGAACGGG